This is an RNA transcript of Eucalyptus grandis, 2398 nucleotides long. It is a transcript of the gene named F-box/kelch-repeat protein SKIP11, with no coding region annotated. Lineage: Eukaryota; Viridiplantae; Streptophyta; Magnoliopsida; Myrtales; Myrtaceae. The transcript is spliced from 3 exons. The record is from RefSeq and is a predicted model, not a curated record.
GAGAGAGGGAGGGGAGGGGGGGUCCUCCUUCGGUUCGCUCCAGCCAGAGGCGAAGCCAAAGUUUUGCUCUGAUUUGCAGAGAGGGGAGAAGAAGUCGGAGAACGCGAAGAACGGAAGCUGCCUAGAGAGAGAAGGAGGGAAGGAGAGAGGGAGGGAGGGAGAUUGAUGAUUGUUUGGAGGAGCCUAAGAACUUAAUAAUUAUAAUUACCGCCCAAUAAAGUUGCGCUUCCCUUUUCACCUUCCUCCGCCGCUCCUUAUCCAAUCCCCUACUUUGCUGGGACAUUCGGUGCUCGCAAGUCGCAAUUUUGAUUAGGGCGUCUUCAUUUUUCUGGGUGUAAGGGUGAAAAAAAGAGAGAAAGAAACGAAGAAAGAACGGCGGGGCUGAUAAAUCGGAGGGCGAGUGUUUUAGUGAUUUUCGGGUUCUCCCUAGUAGAAUAACAGAGACAUGUUGGAAGGUCGGUCCUGUCUGAUCCCGAGGGUGCUUGCAAACUCUUGCCAGUCAGAAAGCAGUUGGCCAGGUUGCAUGAGUUUCCGGCUUGAAAUUGACAUCGGGAGUAGCAAGCAUUCUCGGGAUAUCGACAGCAACGAAGAUCACCCACGCAGGAAGUCAUUGAGGCUUUCUGAAGCCUCUGAGUUGCAAGAAAUAGAUCAGCUCGCUCAGGAUUCGGGAAAACAAUCCAGUGAUCAACGUCAUGCUGGGGAUAAUUCGCAUUUGGAAUCCCUCAUAGGUGCCAUUGGGAGGGACAACUCGAUCAGCUGUCUCAUCCGCUGCUCGAGAUCUGAUUAUGGUUCCUUAGCCUUGUUGAAUUCGAGCUUUCGGAAUUUGAUCAAGAGCGGUGAGCUUUAUAGAUUGCGUAAGCAGAAUCGUGUGAUUGAGCACUGGAUUUAUUUUUCUUGCCAUUUACUCGAAUGGGAAGCUUUUGAUCCUAUUCGCAGUCGGUGGAUGCAUUUACCCAGAAUGAUCUCCAACGAAUAUGUCAUAUUUCCUGAUAAGGAAUCCUUAGCAGUGGGUACAGAGCUUCUUGUGUUCACUAAGGAUAUGACAAAUUCGCAUGUGAUAUACAAAUAUAGCCUUCUAACACAUUCAUGGACUUCUGGAAUGAGGAUGAAUGCUCCGAGAUGCUUAUUUGGGUCUGCGAGCCUUGGGGAGAUAGCAAUAUUAGCCGGCGGUUGUGAUUCCCAGGGGAACAUUUUUAACUCUGCAGAGAUGUACAAUUCCGAGACUCAAAGGUGGUUGCCUCUUAGUAACAUGCACACGCCCAGAAAGAUGUGCUCAGGAGUGUUUAUGGAUGACAAGUUUUAUGUCAUUGGUGGUAUUGGUAGAAGCGAAACGGGUCAGCCAAGAGUUCUCACAUGUGGGGAGGAGUAUGAUCUAAGGACACAAACUUGGACCGUAAUUCCUAAUAUGUCGCCUGUGAGGGGAGGUGCUGCGAGGGAGGCUGAGGUGCCUGCAGCGGCGGAAGCACCUCCUCUAGUUGCAGUGGUCAACAAUGAGCUGUAUGCAGCUGAUUAUGCUGACAUGGAGGUGAGAAAGUAUGAUAAGGAAAGGAGGGUGUGGUAUACAGUUGGGAGAUUACCUGAACGUGCAGACUCAAUGAAUGGUUGGGGUAUUGCCUUCAGGGCUUGUGGAGAUAGUCUUAUCGUCAUUGGUGGACCAAGGACGCCGGGUGAAGUUUUCAUAGAGAUCAAUUCAUGGGUUCCAAGUGAAGGCCCUCCGCGUUGGAACAUGCUCGCCAGAAAGAGUUCGAGUAACUUUGUGUAUAAUUGUGCUGUGAUGGGAUGCUAAACAGUUGGGUAUUUUAGCAUCUUGUGUACUUUAGCAGUUCCUCCCUCCCAAGGAUUGUACAAGAUUGGCUUCUCCUUCAACACAGGAUUCUUGCUAACGGUUGUGGAGGAUGUUAACAUGAUAGCAGACUUCCUUUGCUGAGUUGGGCAACAUUCACGUACUAGGUCAAGAUGUCCGGGUUGAUAUGAGUGAGACGAAAAGAACGACUGCAGAAAUAUUCAAAACUCCGUGGAUGAAGAUGCUUUUGAACUGGACAAGUUUCAGGCUAACAGUUAAUGAAAUUUCUUUAUGCCAGGCACGUCUGCAAUUUGGUUGAAAAGUAUCAAUAAUAAGAGAUUGUGUAUUUGUGGUCAACUACUAGUGGAGGUGAUACUGGGGCUAUUGGUUUAAUGAUAAUAGUCCAACAAGAAAGAUGUCACCUAGAGUGGGAGAAAUGACUUGUGGGGUGAAAUACUAUAUGGAUCCUGAUGAUUUGAUUUUGGAAAUCUCUCUACAUUCUCUUCCAAUAUUUGAUAAUUGAUUUGUAAAUGGAUCUCCACUGGAAAGGUGUCUAGUUGUGUGAGAAAUGACUUGUGGGUGAGAUGUUUUAUGGAAUCCGACAUUAGGCGUUGA